GGAUGAUAUUCUAAGUACACGCCUUAGUGACUAAACUGGAUAAGUCAAUUCUAAGAAAGUAGUAAUCCCAAAAUAGAAGAGCCCUUUGACUUUGUUUAGCAGGGGAAAUGUGCACUUCUAUUAGGAGGUUUGCCAUUUACUCUCGAGUUUUCUUAUCCAGCUUAGUAAAACAUGGACUUGGAAUAUCCCCCAUGGGUAGAAAGUUGACUGGAUAUUUUAGUGUUUACUUACAGGUAACACUUCCUUCUUUGGGUACUUUUUAAGCCUCAACAUAAUCUGGUUCCCAUGUAUGUGCAUGUGAAGUGGUUUCACAUGGCAGGACUGUACAGGUGGAGGUUUGUGGCAAUGCAAAAGUUGAAGUCCUGGCCGGGAGUUUCCCCACCAUAAAAUGAGGCAACUCUGCAAUGUGAAAUUUCCCUUCACUCACCCACCCUCCCACUGUCCACUGUUGUCAGUCUUGAUUGGAGCAUCCAGCGGAUAUUUCUCCAAUACAGACAGAUGGAUGGUCAGAUGUGGUGUCAUUCUACGCCUGUGUUCACGCUGCGAGGCAGAUCCAGGACUUCUAGAAAGAAAGACAUCGGGUCAGUCUGACAGGCAGAGAUAGAGAGAGCGCUUCACCCAGGGUCAUGGCCGAGGGGGGCCUGCUCACCCGGUCUUUGUUGGGCGCCAGCACGUUCAAGGCCACCUGAUAAACAGACUGCCAGCCAGCGUAGGGAAGAAAGUGCUCCACAGAGGCCACAGGAUCUGCCCUGAACUUGACUUCCCCACUUCACGUGCCAGAGAGGUGGACCAAUGUAUGAUGUAAACAACAUCACCUGAAAGGCUCAAUCCACACAAACGUCAAGAAAACGUCUUGAGUCUCUUGAUCAAAUGGGCCAGUGACUAUUCCCCUCUGCUCUGAGGGUGUUGAAGGCUCUUCUCCCAGAGCGCCUGAGGAAAUGUGAUGACUCGGAGUUCCCAGAACUGGAUGCUCUACAGAGAGAGAGCCCGAGAGAGAGAGUCCGACAGGCCAUGCUGUGGUCCACAAGCUGACCUCUCCCCCACAUGUUUGAUCAGAUUGUUUUUCUCCCUGCGGCCGAGCGAGAGCCUGGCCACUCCACUCCACGCGGUGCCGAGCAACUCGAUGGACAGCGUCAGCAGCACUGAUGAAGAUGAGGAGAGAAGGGAGGGGUGGACCGGGUGGGAGUGGGGUGGGAGCUAGAAGAGCAGAACAGGCUUUUGCUGAAGAGAGGAGCGGAGAGAAAAAGCAAGCAAGCAAGCGAGCACUCUGGUUACUCAGUAACCCAGGGCAACAGACUUGCCACUCACCUUUCCCCUAAUACCCCCCUCACCUCCGAGACCACGUGAAGAACGGCUGCAUGCUGACACCCCACACUGUGCUGCUCACACACACACACACACACACACACACACACACACACACUCAAUCACAUCCAACACAUCACACUGUGCACGUACACACACUGACACCCUGCACAAGGCUGCUAACACACACACUAGCAUUAAACUCAACUGAACCACACACUGAAGCCUUUUUGUUGUACUGUUCACAUAUACACACACAGACAUACUGACACUCUGCUUUGCUUAUACACACCCAUAAACAUAAACACCCACACACACACACACACACACACACACACUGUACACAUACACAAACUGGCACACCUGCACCACAUCUCAGAACUCACAUGUGCAUCCAUCUCAGAACUUGCACACCAUGGAAGAGGACCGCACUCAUCUCCAGACAGGCAGGAAAUUAUAUUUAAAACAAAACAUGAUUAGAAUUUACUUUUCUCUCCAUUCUCUGGCUCAGCGCUGCAUGCGAGCCUCAGUGUCUCAUAGCGAGACUUAGACCCAAACCUCCUCAGGGAGAAUGCAGGAGAUGCAAUUAGCAUUGAGAUCAUUUCUGCUGAUAAUGGGCUGCCGUGUUACCUAAUACACGCACAGAGAGAGACAAUGAGAGAAAGACAGAGAUAGAAUGAUAGAGCUUUGUAUCCCCAUUCAACCUCAGAGUGGUGCUGUGAGUGACUCAAAGGUGUAUUUCACAAGAUGGCCGUUUAAACGGGUGGCGUCACUGUCAUCAUACAGUACGCACUCUGAGGGCGACACAGAACCACAUACCGUAACGUGAAUAGCUGAAUACACAAAUACCGUGUGGCUUACUCCACUCCCCGGAAGAAGUAUUCUUUGAAACACAUCUGGCCCGGGUCUGGUAUGAGCUCUGCCCAGAGUCAGAUGCCAACAGCACUGAAGAUUACGGUGAGUCUCAGUCGGGACUGCGUAGGUGGCAGACCUGUAGCGCCUUCAGUGACUCAUUAAGAAGAAAGCAGUGUAUGGGAGGGGCAGUGUACUCUGUCACACACACACACACACACACACACACACACACACACUCAAAAAAAGCUGCACCCAGUAUGACAUCAUCACUAAUCCCACAUGGCUUAAACACACACUAACAGACGCACACACUUAGUCGCGCACACGCUGCUACACACUCUCACACACGUCCAGACUGGCAAUGGGGAAGGUGGUGAAAGAUGCUGUGCUAAUUCAGGGCCUGGUUGAAGAGGAGAACCAGACUGAUCCGGUCCGACCCCAGCUCAAACCUCCCUCUGCCGCCCGCCGCGGAAGGGCGUGACCGGUAUGGGAUGUUGGCCGUGAAGACUGCACAGCAGCAGCCGCACGCUGUGUGCGUUCUCUCUCUCUCUCUCUCUGAAAAAUAAGGCCCGAGCUCUUUGGCUUCAGGUUGCAUGUGAAAGCAGGCCCUUGCCAUCUUAUCACCUUAAACAAAAGGGGCUGUCUAUUUGAUUUGUUCCCCCCCACAAAACUCAAGAGUGUUGAUGUUUUUGGUAUGGAUCCCUGGUGAGGGUAAAGACAGAUAAGAACUGAGGGGGUAGUCAUGAAUGAGCCUGUGUGUGGGGAAUGCUGUGGUUUUAUCUCAGAUAUCUAUACCGUACCCACAUCCAUCCAAUAAAACAAUGCCAGUAAGACUGACUCAGAGGAGAAAAUGGCUGUUGGGAGAUGACAGUUAAUGUAAAGAAUGUUUGUGAUAAUAGGUCUCUGAGUUUGCAGACAUCGGCAACCCUUUCAGAGCGUUCUCAAUGUUUUUCGGUAGGUCGUAGCAUGGCUGUCAAUCAGUGUGACCGAAUAAAUAAUGAUCCCUUGAUGGCCAGCAAGCUGGACUCAUUAUCAUGGCAGAACCUGACCUGUCUGCCCAAACCUGUCUCGUCUUUGGCACCACUAAUUGUAGUUUACUGAGCGCUGUUUUCCUGCUGUGAUGAUACUAGACGGUUACGGAUAUUGUGAUCUGGAAAACAUCUUGCACCAUGUGACGCAAAAAUAACUGGUUCAGUGUAGUCCCAGACCUACACUCAUUUUGUACUAGGGUAGAAUAUGCUUAGAUGUGGUAUUCAGACUGAUAGUCGCAUCUUUCUAAUGCUGUCAGUGAAGCCGAUCACAUUUUUAGGACAUAUUCUUGGAGUCGUUUCUUUAGCGGUCAGUUACUGUGGUUUCAUUGCAGAGGCGGCCAGCAGCUUCGAUGAAAUUCUGGUAUGAUAACUACACCACAAGGCCAUUAGUGCUGGAAAGUGGCAGCGGGACAGUUUUCAUUGCCAUUCCCCUUAACCCAAUGUUUCUCAAUGAAUAGCGCUGACCCAGGGUCUUCUCAUUCACCACCCUACAGGAGUAAUUGCUUUGAAAAUGAGGGCAAGUUGCCUCAAAAGCUGUCUGGAGUGCGACUGUGAUGCAGUGCCGUCUUCGCCUGCUUUGUUCUCUCUCUCACACACUCUCGCUGCUCGCCAGUCGGGUGAGGCUGAGAGGCGAAAGCAGAAUGCAGCCGUCUGUCGUGAGUCAUGCCCUCUGUGCGGCCAGUUGUGGAUGUUUACUCACCGUAUGAAUCAUGCGACCCGCAGAGAAGCAAAGUCUUUUGGGCAGCUGUCUCAACACGCAGGAGUUCCAGCUUCACACCGAGUUGGAUGGAGGGGGGGGGGGGACUUAUUUUCAAUGGGCUUGUCCUGGUGCGUGGGUAUUCAACAUUUUAACUGUGUUUUUUUCCCCUUGUGUGCGACUUCUUCAUUGACUCCAUUCCA
Alosa sapidissima (American shad) is the source of this 4091-nucleotide long non-coding RNA. RefSeq lists it as uncharacterized. NCBI's taxonomy places the organism in Eukaryota, Metazoa, Chordata, Actinopteri, Clupeiformes, Clupeidae. The record is from RefSeq and is a predicted model, not a curated record. The transcript has 3 exons.